This 839-nucleotide ribosomal RNA is filed under the name Acutuncus antarcticus. Its description in RNAcentral is "SSU rRNA". It matches the Rfam family "Eukaryotic small subunit ribosomal RNA", at positions 80 to 921 of the family's 1831-position model. Lineage: Eukaryota; Metazoa; Tardigrada; Eutardigrada; Parachela; Hypsibiidae. The record is from RNAcentral.
AGGCGAACCGCGAAUGGCUCAUUAAUCAGUUAUGGUUCACUAGAUCGUACAGUUUACAUGGAUAACUGUGGUAAUUCUAGAGCUAAUACAUGCACCCAGUCCGUUCCCUCGUGGAGCGGAUGCAGUUAUUUGCCCAAAACCAAUCCGGCCUUCGGGUCGGUCAAUUGGUGACUCUGAAUAACCGAAGCGGAGCGCAUGGUCUCGUACCGGCGCCAGAUCUUUCAAGUGUCUGACUUAUCAGCUUGUUGUUAGGUUAUGUUCCUAACAAGGCAUCAACGGGUAACGGAGUGUCAGGGCCCGACACCGGAGAGGGAGCCUGAGAAACGGCUACCACAUCCAAGGAAGGCAGCAGGCGCGCAAAUUACCCACUCCCGGCACGGGGAGGUAGUGACGAAAAAUAACGAUGCGAGAGCUUUAUGCUCCUCGUAAUCGGAAUGGGUACACUUUAAAUCCUUUAACGAGGAUCUAUUGGAGGGCAAGUCUGGUGCCAGCAGCCGCGGUAAUUCCAGCUCCAAUAGCGUAUAUUAAAGUUGCUGCGGUUAAAAAGCUCGUAGUUGGAUCUGGGUAGUCGAUGGACGGUGCGCUUUACGGCGUCUACUGUUCGUUCGGCACCACAUGCCGGCCAUGUCUUGCAUGCUCUUCACUGAGUGUGCUUGGCGACCGGAACGUUUACUUUGAAAAAAUUAGAGUGCUCAAAGCAGGCGUUAAGCCUUGCAUAAUGGUGCAUGGAAUAAUAGAAUAGGACCUCGGUUCUAUUUUGUUGGUUUUCGGAGCUCGAGGUAAUGAUUAAUAGGAACAGACGGGGGCAUUCGUAUUGCGGCGUUAGAGGUGAAAUUCUG